Molecule: unclassified non-coding RNA, 2836 nt
Filed under: Hevea brasiliensis (rubber tree)
Lineage: Eukaryota; Viridiplantae; Streptophyta; Magnoliopsida; Malpighiales; Euphorbiaceae
Source: RNAcentral
UUUUUUUUUUUUUUUUUUGGUUUAUAAGGGAGGUAAAGAAGAGAAUCCAACUUAAAAUCUUGUCUAGGUUAGAGAAAUGCACUUGCCAACAUGCUAAGCCUAUAAUAAGUUAAGUUCUAAUACAUAUAGUAUUGUGCUAAUUAAUCUAAUAAGAAUAGUUCAUGUUUCGGCACUACUGCCUGUUCACAAAUGUAGAGUAGUAACAACCACAGUAUUCUGCCAGUGGGCAAGUAAUCUCUCUUUCAGCUGGGGGGCGAUAUUUCCCUUCCUCUUCUGACCUCAUCAAAGAUUGUCUAGACCUGGAACUAAAUGUUCAUUUUCAUUUUGGUUCAUGUCAUGAUCCAUUAUAUAACAUCUCAUAAGCUUUUAUCACUCAUUGCUUAUGCUGUGUCGAUAGGAGUACAGAAGAUGCUCUUAAAAGGUUGGGAAAGUUUUUGGUUAUGUUUAUGCAUUUCGUUAUUUUAUGAACUUUUUGACUUGAGAGGAUGAAAGAGAUGCACUUAGACAGCUGAAACAUACUUACAUCUUACUGAAAACUUUUAAAACACAUACCUUUUUUUUUUCCACGUCUGUAAAGGUAAAUAUAAAAUAAACUUGGAACCUUAGGAUGCUCUACUAUCAGCUAACACAAGUGAAAAAGAUUACUUUGAUGGUUGUUUAGUUCAGAAACCAAGGAUCGAUGCAUCGCCCCAGCAAUUAAUAGUCGAAUCAUAGAUUUCUUGAAUUGCCCACAGGUUUAAAAAUAUAUUCACACAUGACUUACGCACUGACAUAAUAAUUAAUGGUUAUCUCACAAGACUUGGUAACUUUGAAUGCAAUAUAUCUCUCAUACACCCACACAAACUGCGCGCAAAACACACACAGAUUGUAAAUGCUAUAGAGAUCAAAUUAUUAACUAACUCAAAUUAGUUAAGUAAUAUAUACCAUUUACCUCAUCUACGCAUUCCAGGAGGCACAAUGUCCCCGAGAAGUCCUUCAUCUACUGGAAUCUGUGGGGUAGGCUCUCGUAGCAUACCGAUUUCGAUUGUUUGAACAGGUACCUGUUGUGACUGUGCAAUAGUUGGACUUUCUCGAGGUAACUGAAUUCCAGGAUAAUAAAAUUGUGAAACUGGGGGGGUUAAGUGGUUGACAAAUGUCGAUUCAUGGCUAAUGAUUCCACCUCGGUGAAAACCAACAGUAGGGUGACAGUGCUGGCCUUCAUAAGUAGUAAUCACAAUGGCGGGAUCUUCAGAAGAUCGUUCAACCCUCUUUUUCACGGUACAUUUGCUAUUUGUGCAACGAUAGUAGCUCCUGGGAAAUGGACUAUUUUUAACCGCUUUCUGUCCAUAUUUCCGCCAACGGUAACCAUCCUCCAGAUGAUCAACUUCACUCUUAGUCAUAAAUGCAAAACGUGGCUGGCGGAUUCGUUUUUGCCCCUUCUUUCUAACUUUACUCCUACAAAAUAUUUCAUCUACAUUUAUCAAAAUAAAAAUAAAAUUCCGAAAAUAAAGAAGAAAUCAAACUGAAGUAAUGUCUUAAUUGCAAUCAGAUUAAUUAGUUAUCUUUGCUGACUAUAUUUCUCUUGGGAUCGAUAUAUAAAAUUGUUAAUUUGAUCUUAAUAAUAUAAAUGCAUUCUAAAUGCUUGUAAUUUCUUGCAGAAAGUGUUCGAAAUUUCAAAUUUUUAUCUUUCAAACGGGAAUAGAUUAUUAAAAUAUUCAAUCAAUGCUUGUAAUGUUACCUCAUGUAUAAAUUUUCUAUCAGUAUAUAAUAGCCUAAGACAUCUGUGAGUUGAUAUAUGAAAAUUGGAGAACUUAAUUAAUCUCUCACCAUAAAGUAAUUUAAAAGCAAUAAAAUCCAAUUCAUAUCAUCCCUGAGGCUAAGACUACAAUGACCAAGAUACUUCCUCUUGAGUAGGGGAUGAAUUACUUCCUCUUGAGUAGGGGAAGAAUUUACUACAAACGGUGGAAAAUGGCAUUGUUUAUAUGAAUAAACUUAGCCUUUAAUUUGGAAUAAGUAUGUCAAUAUUAAAUUUAAAAUUGUUGUUUACGACUACAAAAAUAUUACCAUAGCCAUAUCUAUUGCAUUCAGUAUCUAAUCAACCAACAUUAGAGAAUGCAAACUGCCGUCAAAUGCCCCAUUCAAAGAAUCUAUAUUACAUAAGGUGCACUUCUAAAGCCAGAAAAGAAAGUGCAUUUUCACGAAAAGACUCUAAACAAAACAUAGGAUUGAUGCUAAUGCACAUGAAUCUGUACGGUAUCUCAGGUGGUUUCCCGCCGGAGCCCGUAGACUUGUCUGGCGGAUCCUCGCUAGAGCUCGACGAGACUGACGGAUUGGAAGUUGACACGUCAGCACCACCAGCACCAGCACCACCGCUCUCAGACCUACCCGUACCAGCCUGACCACCACAACCACCACUACCACCACCACUUACCGAUCCCUGUAACCCGCUACUACUCUCAGGUGCAAACCCAAGGUUUUCGGCAUCGAUCCGGUCAAGGUCACCAAAGCUGCCCGGUUCGCUGGAAGUGUGGCCGGGUUGAAGAUUCCAUCCGAAUUCCCUGAGUAUACUGCUCUCUCUGUCGCUAGCGAAGAAGUAAUUGACGUUAUCGGAGUCAGAGCCGAGAUUCCAGUUGGAGUCAGUGGCGAAGUGGCCUCCCGGAUCGGGAUUGUGAGCAUCGUCCAUGGAGGAUCUAUUGAUAAUAAUUGAGCAGAGAGAGAAAGAAAAGGGCAAAGAAAAUGAGAGAGAAAGUUAGGGUUUUCGAAGGAGUGAAGAGAAGUGAGGCCGUUGAGUGUGUUGGGAAGGACGCGUAGUUUUUUUUCAAGGGUUUGAAAGGUGUGUCCUGUCAAUACAUUUUAG